UUGGCAUAAUAUAAAUAAAGAUGAAAAUCUGGAAUUGUUUAAGCUAAAACUCGGACAUGAUGGAACACCCAAGACACUUCCACAUGAAAUAGAAAAGAUUGCAAGAUGUAUUGUAGAGAGAUUUCAUGGUUUACCUCUUGGAAUUAGUGUGAUGGCUNNNNNNAUGGGACCAGAGGUGGAAGAAGAAGUCUUCAAGGUAUUAAAACUUAGCUAUGAUAAUUUGAUGGAAAAAGACUUGCAAAACAGUUUUUUGUAUUGUGCAUUAUUAUUAUCUGAUUCGGAUAAGGAUAAAGAGAUCAUGAGGCUAGUUGACUUUGGACAGAUGAAUAAGAAUAUGUAUUUGGAAGAAAUAUUCGAUGAAUGGAAUGCCAUAUUGAAGAAGCUUCAAUCCCAUUCUUUGAUCAGUAUUUAUGAGAAUAAACGGAUAUUCAUACAUCACUUGGUGAGAAGUAUGGCCUGUUAUAUCAUGAAAGAGAGUCAGAGGAAUGUCAUAGUGGAAUUGAAUGAGAGAUUCACCAAAAUACCUGUCUCGUUUGGAUGUGCAACUGAUUUAGAGUUUGUUCAUAUUCGGAAUUGUGUUAUAGUAGAAAUCUCAGAGGAUCUGUCUCCAAAUUGUCGAAAGUUGUCCACCUUAAUUAUAAAUAAAGUUUCCAUUAAUCAUGUUCCAGAGAGUUUUUUCAAAUAUAUGAAUAGUCUAUCAAUAUUGGAUCUAUCCUUUAAUGAAAGUCUAGUAUCUUUGCCAAACUCCAUCACUAAUUUGAGGUCACUUGUUUCUUUAAUGUUAAAAGGAUGUCGUGCGUUGAAACAUGUGCCCCCAUUGGGAGAACUACAAGCAUUGUCAAGAUUGGUCAUUUCAAAAACUUCCAUUGAGGAAGCACCACAAGGCUUAGAAAAAUUAAACAAUUUGAAAUGGCUUGAUCUAUCCAAAAAUGAAAGAUUGGAUUUGGAAUUAGGGUCUUUCUCAUCCUAUUUGACCAAAUUGCAAUACCUCGAUCUCCGAAACACUCGUGCUGUUAUUAAGGUUGAAGAUGUUCAAAGGAUGAAGAUACUGGAAUGUUUUCGAGGUGCCAUUGACUGCAAUCAAUUCAUGCAAAACAAUCUUGAUAUGAGUUUUGGGCUCAUCAAAACAUAUCAUCUCAUAUUAGGAAAUGUAUGUGGUAAAAGUGAGUGGAAGAGUUGUUCUAAUUUGACUCGUGGUGAUUUUAAAAAUAGGUGUAUAGAAUUCCAAGAUUGUGAUCGUUUCAGCCACAUACUACCUAAAGACCAUACUCUUCUGCUUAUAUACAAGAAUAAUCAUUGGGUUUGGUUAUGUGAUGUUCUUUCAUAUAGCACUUCUUCUUCUGUAAGGACAAUACAAAUUAGUUAUUGUGAUAAACUAGAGAGCUUGUUUUGUUUAUCUGGUUCUUGUUCCUUUUGCACCAAGAUUCACAAGCUGGAAAUUUUGUCUCUUUCACAAUUGAAAAGUUUAACUGUCAUCUGUAAAGACGUUGUUGAUGUUGGACAAUCUUUGUCACCGGUUGGCAUAUUCUCUUGCCUAAAAGAAAUUAACAUUUCUUUUUGCAAUUUGAUAGANNNNNNNNNNNNNNNNNNNNNNNNNNNNNNNNNNNNNNNNNNNNNNNNNNNNNNNNNNNNNNNNNNNNNNNNNNNNNNNNUGAAAGAGAUAUUUGCAGUGAGUAACAAUGAUGACAAUGACAAUUCCAUCAUUACACUUCCCAAGUUGACCAGAUUGGAGUUGAAAGAUUUACCAGAAUUGAAGAUUGUGUGCAAAGGGAUUAUACACUGUGAAUCUUUACCGGAAGUGGACAUCGGUUUCUGCCCAUGGUUAGAUAGGCGCUCAACAAUAGAAAGAUUUAAGAGUCCUUAUUUCUGAUUUAAGAAGUACACUUUUGAUGAAUUUGAAUAGACAAAUAUAUGAAACAAGUAACAUGAAUUAUCAGGUGUGAACGGUAGCGGUCAUAACAGAAGUGUUUGUGAAAGUGAGAUUAAUCAAUUGGUUCGUGAUUUAGAUUUUGAGAAAAAUGAUAUUGCGAAACAACUUCAAUGUUUGGAGUCUCGUAGAAAAAAGCGCAAGUUUGAAGUUGAUUUUUGGUUGGAAGAAUUACAAGAUAUCAAAGAAAGUGUGAGGCAUAUGAAUAACUUAAAUGAUACUCAUCAUGUAAGUGAAUUGAUCCAAAAGAUGAAACGACACAAGGAAGAGAAACCUCUCACUUUGUCAACUGAAUAUGUCGGCUGGAGAUUAGAUGAAAAUAUCAAGAAAGUGUUGAAACUUCUUGAUGAUGACAAAGUCUUUGUCAUUGGGAUAUAUGGAAUGGGAGGAGUAGGAAAAACUUUACUUGCAACUCUCGUGGAAAAUGAAGUCAAAAGGAAAACAACUUUCAAGGAUGUGUUUUGGGUCACUGUUUCUGACAUCACUAACAUCUCAAAAUUGCAAAAUGAUAUUGCAAAAAGAAUAGGUGUAAAGCUUGAUGAAGACGAUGAGAGAAUUAGAGCAUACCAUUUGUCUUCCGCAUUGGAGAAAAAAGAAAAAUCAGUUCUUAUUCUGGAUGAUGUUUGGAGAUACAUUGAUUUAGAAAAGGUGGGAAUUAUUCCAAAAGUGAAUGGCAUUAAAGUGAUUGUGACAUCUCGUUUAGAACAUCUAUGUCACCAGAUGGAUUGUUGGUCAUAUGCUAUAAUACAAAUGUUUCCUUUCAGUUUCCUUCCAGUAUUUCAAGAUGAUGAUGAAGUUGAUCAAGAUCUGGAAUUGUUUAAGCUAAAACUCGGACAUGAUGGAACACCCAAGACACUUCCACAUGAAAUAGAAAAGAUUGCAAGAUGUAUUGUAGAGAGAUUUCAUGGUUUACCUCUUGCAAUUAGUGUGAUGGCUAGAACAAUGAAAGGGAUUGAUGACAUUCAUCAAUGGAAACAUGCAUUGAAUCAACUUAAAAAAUUUGAAAUGGGACCAGAGGUGGAAGAAGAAGUCUUCAAGGUAUUGAAACGAAGCU
RNAcentral lists this long non-coding RNA (2981 nucleotides) under Trifolium pratense (red clover). Its description in RNAcentral is "long non-coding RNA (TPRA_LNC003994)". Lineage: Eukaryota; Viridiplantae; Streptophyta; Magnoliopsida; Fabales; Fabaceae. The record is from RNAcentral.